CCCCCACAGUUACCCAAAUCCACAGUUGCUCAAGUCUGUUAUGUAUAAUGGCACAAUAAUUGCAUGCCAUCUAUGCACAUUAGCCAGUGUACUUGGAAUUAUCUCAAGAUCAACUUGUGACACUCCACACAAUGUAAAUACCACAAAGAGGAAAGAGAGGUAAGAUGGAAGUAUUGCAACUGGAAGUGGUCAUUGAAAUCAUUCUGUCCUACGCAGAGCAUGGGCUGGAAGUUGGUAGAGUUGCCCCUUCCUAUGGAUCAGGCCCCAUUUCUUUGAUGAGACUCGGGCUGAAGAAAUGAUUUCACCCUUGGAACAAUGCCGAUAGUUCCAAGAGGUGUAACCAGGUUGAGCCAGGCUGAGUUAACCAGACUUUUACAAAGUGGAGCCAUGAGCAAAAGCUCUCUUCCUUUCUUGCCAAAGACUGUGAGUCAGAGUUGCUGUGGUCUCGAAGCCUCCUCUGCAGGGAGAAGCUCCUUUGCUUGGCGGUAUCUACAAGUCAUCCUGAACUCAGAGACACAGAAGGUGA
Ochotona curzoniae (black-lipped pika) is the source of this 526-nucleotide long non-coding RNA. RefSeq lists it as uncharacterized. The transcript is spliced from 3 exons. NCBI's taxonomy places the organism in Eukaryota, Metazoa, Chordata, Mammalia, Lagomorpha, Ochotonidae. The record is from RefSeq and is a predicted model, not a curated record.